Amphimedon queenslandica is the source of this 452-nucleotide long non-coding RNA. RefSeq lists it as uncharacterized. The record is from RefSeq and is a predicted model, not a curated record. Lineage: Eukaryota; Metazoa; Porifera; Demospongiae; Haplosclerida; Niphatidae. The transcript has 4 exons.
UAAAAAACUUUUAUUAGGUAUUCUAUUCUGUGCAUGUUCUGCAGUAUUUAAUUUCAUUAUUCUUAGGUAUCAAGAAAUGUUAGUGGGUGAUUAUGAGGUUGACAGCCUUGAGAGGUUGGUAUUGCCAUCUGCUAUAGAGAGGGAAAGGAGGAAGAGUAAUUUUGAACAUUAUAAGGACACCACACUCUCAGCCUUGUUUCUGUAGCUAAUGGUUAGAGUAUAUGAGUAAGUUACGUAGGAUGAUAAAGAUAAUUAAAGAACCACUCCAGUCUGGUUUAUAUGAUGUCCUCCCUACUACUAUUGGAAGGUUUGGCUCCUGAGGAUUUGAGGCUUUUGCUCUGUGGGUGUCAGCAGGUUGAACUUGAUGUACUCAAAAAGAUAACAACUUUCAUCAUUAUUUUCAAGAGUCCAGAUAAUGGAAUGGAUUAUCUUGUUAUUAUUGUUAUUUUUUU